This 489-nucleotide unclassified non-coding RNA is filed under the name plant metagenome. Its description in RNAcentral is "partial contains small subunit ribosomal RNA and internal transcribed spacer 1". The record is from RNAcentral.
AAGUCGUAACAAGGUAUCCCUUCCACCCACGGAAACCUUGAAAAUUGUCACUUCGGUGGCCAAUAGUCGCCAAUUCUGGCGGCGACACUGGCAGUCUGCACGGGAACAUCCUCUCAGAGGAAAACCCCGCAGUUGGAGCAAGAUCUCCAAUGCACAGGCUAAAUGCCGGUGGGUUCUGGAAAGGCCCCAGGAUUUAUGAUAUAGUCGGUCCUUGGAGAAAUCCCAGCGAGCGAACGUUCCGUAGGUGAACCUGCGGAAGGAUCAUUGAAGUGAAUACUUAGUCCAUAUUGGACGUGGUAGCCCCAAAUCCCCGGGGGUUUCCCCGGGGGCUGGCCGCCUAACCCUCUGUUUACAUUACCUUGUUUCUUUGGCGGGCCGCGGCCUCGCGCCCGGCCGGCUUCCCUCACGGGGGCUGGCGUGUGCCCGUCAGAGGCCCAUUCAAAUCUUUUUUAAAAAUGCAGUCUAAGUCUAUAUUUUAAUAGCCUAAAA